RNAcentral lists this unclassified non-coding RNA (343 nucleotides) under uncultured fungus. RNAcentral's name for it is "sequence contains ITS1". The stretch from base 1 to 99 matches the Rfam family "5.8S ribosomal RNA", at positions 50 to 154 of the family's 154-position model. Lineage: Eukaryota; Fungi. The record is from RNAcentral.
GAAGUGCGACAAGUGUCAUGACUUGCAGAUUCCCGAGAGCUGACAAAUUUCUGAAUGCAAAUGGCGGCCGCUACCUCGGCCAUGUAUUGUAGAGUGUAGUUGUUCAUACUCAUCAUCCCCUAGAAUCAUCGAAGUGCUCACGCACCGUCUGGUGAUGCUAGGAGGCAUCUGCGCUUGUAAUCCUACCAUUGCGAGCGUGAAAAUUAAGAGUGGGAAGUGAGACACUUAAUUGUGUCUCACCUUCCGACUUCGAAUAUGCCUAUGGGCUCUAUCCGAAGUAACCAUAAACUCUCUCCAUUUCUAACAUCCACCUCUGCAAUGCAGGAGAACCCGCUGAACUUAA